CUCCCCCCACCCAUCCUUCCUUGCGCGCGUGCGCGUGCGUGCCUCCUCUGUGCUUCUAAUGCUCGGGUGUCAGGUCAACAGCCCGGCGAGCGCGCGCGCCGAAAGAGGACCGUGCGCACGGUGCUCGCGCCUCCUCCUCCUCCUCCCGCUUCUCUCUCUCUCCCCCCGUGUGUGAGGGGGAAAUUAGCAGUUGAGGGCGUUUUGGUUUGAACUAAGCGAGGACGGGUAGAGAGCCGCGCGGUAGCCUGCCGUGGCGGCAAGAACAAUGAAGGGUGGCGGCUGAAGGGGGCUGGGUUUGUGCGUGGCGGCGGGCUACGGAGGCAGGCGCUGUGGAGGAUGGCAAUCGCGUGAAGGGAUUAAUUGUUGUUUAGCCAUGGUGCUCUCUGGGGACUCAGAAGGGAGGAUUGCAGCCUUCCUAAGCGUGUGCAUGUAUAUAAUUAUAUUUUCUUCAAAAAAAGUGUAAAUAGAAGCAGGGUGAAACUUGCUGAAAUAAACCCUCUCUUCUCUGCCUGCGAGAGUUUUGGCAAGUCCCGGUCACCCACCUGCAAUGCUUCAUGUUUAAAAUGGGAAUAAUAGGGAAAUUGCUAUGCAAGUUUUUGCUGGGAAGUAAGCCCCACUAUAAUAGGCACGGGAGGUUUCUCCUCAGAAAUUAUGUUUAGGACAGCAGUUUGAGAGUAGGGUUACCCAAAAUAUUUAACUAGGUAAGGUUUGAGAAGGUAGUGUUGAAAUAGGUCAUCUUUGCAGUAAUCCUAUGCACUGAGAGUUGGUCCCAUGGAAAUCCGCCAGGCUGCCUUCUCUGUAGACAGGCAUAGUAUUGCUGUGUUAAAUAUCACUUAUUAGGAGUAAGGCCCAUUGAUCGCAGGUGGGUUUUGCUGCACAGUUGCCUCCAGCAGCUCUUGCACUAGGACUGGAAGUGCCACGGGAAAUACUUCCCAAGGAAUGAUAGUACUUCUAAGCACAGGGACCUGGCACAGCCCUGGCAAAGUAGGCCCUGCCAAAGUUGUUGCUUCCUUGCAGAAUCCGCCAGCAGCACUUAGAUGAAAAACUGCACAGUAAGAAUCUCUGUUGAGUGACACAAGCUGGAGGGUUGGCAUCAGGAUAUUGUAAAAUGCAGCUCCCUGUUCACAUUAUGUGCUUGUGAGAAUGAAUAAGCCUGGCUUCUUUCUGUCUAAAAUUGAAGCUUUUACCAUUUCCCCAGAGGACAGCUAAAAAUGUAUUAAGCUGAUUGAAAUAAAUUAGUUUAUCCUGAUGCAUGGACUACUCUUAGGUUUACACUAGUCUGGUGGUGAGAGGCUAGGAGAGAUAGCAGGUGUCUUGGAGCAGGGAACUGAGUGGAGGUGUUCAUGGGCACAUGCAUGCAAACAAGAUAAGCAUGUAGAGACUACAGAGCAGCUGAGAGCCUGGGAUUGGUAUGGAGAAAAAGCAAGAGAGGCUAUGCCCAUCAGACCGGUUUGGGGAAUGAGUCAUCUCUUGGAGCAAGGGAAGUAGAUAAAAGUAGGGGGGAGAAUAGAUCUCUGCUCAUUGUACAAUAUUCAUCUGUCCUUAGGCAAUGUUUUCAUACACAUUCUCUCCAUUCUCAUUUGUUUCAUAAUAAAGCUCUCCAGUUUUGGAACUUGCUUUCCCAGAUAUCAGAAAAAUGCUAAGCUUGCCAAUUUUCUGGAAGUACCAUAAGCCUUCACUGUUCAGGGCAAGCAUUUUGUGGCUGGGUAUUGGAGGAUUUUUUAAGGAUAACUUUUAGUCUACGUAUAUUUAAGUGUUUGGAUAGCAUGUUUCUAAGUGUUGAGCUGCGCUGAGCCCUAGGAAAUUCAGUAAAGCAUAAUAAAAGUGGUGGGAAGGAAUUAGUAAAUUAAAUAAAUUGAUUGUCAACUCACAUAAGAGGUAUGCCUCAGUUUGUUAAUGGUGGGUCUUUCCCUAAGAGUAUUCCCACAGGAUUGUAGUUCUAGUCACUUAAGUUCCUCCAUUAAUCAAAGACUCCAUAACAGAGCAUGUGCAUAACCUCUUGGGUUCAAUCCAUACUAUCUCCCAUUUAUGUCUCAAGUACUUUGGCAUUUUUAAAGCUAUUGCUUUAUUUGACCCCAGUGUCAAGAUUAGCAGAGAACUGCUGUGGGUAUAGGAGGGUUUUCUGUCCCUAAAAAAAACCCUGGUCAGGAUCCAGUGAGUUCUGUGUGUUCCCCAACAUUGUCUUCCAUGCAGCCAGGCUUACCCAAUUUCCUCUAGUGACUGGUGCUCCUCUUAAUGCGGGGGUCAGGGCAUAGGGGUAUAUGUGUUUUUUUAUGCCACUUUGUUUUUCUCUGUUCAUCUUUCUUGCAGUGCCAAGAAAUCUUUAGUUGCAUACUCUUUGCAGGUACAUGAAGUAGUUAUUCCAGGAAACUCUUUGAAAAGCCUUGUUUUUAAAAAUGUGGAAAAUAAUACUGACUCUUCAGGAACUCUAUUUUUGGUCUUUAUUAUACAAUCACUGAACUGUAAAAAUACAUAAAUUUUACUUCCUUUUCUUGGUCAUUAUCCUCUUGUGUUAAAUCUGUGUUUCUGUUACGGGGAUAUCUUUGCACAAAGAAAAUUCAAGCCUUUCCCCCAGAUAACCCAUUCAUUAUUUUGGGGAGCUUUCGUGCCUGUUGUCCAAUGGCAAAUUUUACGCAUACAUGUCUAGACAGAAGACUGGGCAGAGGAGGACUGCCAGGAGGCAAAAGAUCCAAUCAGAGCCAGUGAUCAAUGCAUCCCUGUUGAGUGGGCCAUUGUUGCUGGACUCUCCAUGCUUAUGCACAAUCCUAACUGUCUUCACUUCAGCUGUAGGACCAGGCUGUCCAUUGGAUACAUGGGACAAAAUUACACAGAUAUAAAAGAAUCUCUGAGCCGUCAGCACCCAAGCACUUCUGCCAUUAAGAUGCCAUGUAUUCAAUGUAAGCACAAUCACAUACAGUCAUACCUCAUGUUACGGACGCUUCAGGUUACGUGUUUUCAGGUUAUGGACCGUGGGAAACCUGGAAGUACUAUAACGGGUUACUUCCGGGUUUCACCGCAUGCGCAGAAGCGCCAAAUCGUGCUGGUGCCUGCGCAGACACAGCGCUUCAGGAUGCGUACGCUGCAGGUUGUGGACGUGCCACCAUCACGGAUUAUGUCUGCAACCCAAGAUUCCACUGUAAUUUGGUUCCAGGCACAGGACUGAACAUCCAAAAAGAUCCACUUUCAUUUUAUAAAGAUCUGUUUCAAGCCCAUAGGGUUGGAGGGAGAGUGUACGGGCAAUGGAAUCUGAGAACUUUGAAUGGGAAGUUGAACAAGUUAUGCAGUGUUCAGAAGUGGGGCUUCAGUAACCUGCAUAACUCAGUGUUCCUUCUUAUAAGCAGAGAAUAAAUUAUGCAAAAUAUGGAAAUACAUGCAGAUUUGCAAUUUAUACAGGAGUCAGAAUACAGAUCAAGUGGACUUAGAAAUUUAUUUUCUUAGGUCAGAAUAGUAUAGCUUUCCCCACCACUGUCUUCAGCAAUUCUGACAGUAAGGAAUGCAAGGUUACCCAAUCAUGCCAUUAGAAUAAGUUUAUGGAUUGUAAUAUGUGCACAUGUGUAUAAGGAAUAACUAAAUGAGAACGGCAUCUUCUCUGUUUCCAUUUGCCAUUAAAACCAUUUACAGUGGUGCCCCGCAAGACGAAUGCCUCGCAAGACAAAAAACCCGCUAGACGAAAGG
Molecule: non-coding RNA, 3675 nt
Organism: Podarcis muralis (Common wall lizard)
Lineage: Eukaryota; Metazoa; Chordata; Lepidosauria; Squamata; Lacertidae
Source: RefSeq, a predicted model, not a curated record